This 1516-nucleotide unclassified non-coding RNA is filed under the name Bombus terrestris (buff-tailed bumblebee). RNAcentral's name for it is "misc RNA ENSBTSG00005025854.1". Lineage: Eukaryota; Metazoa; Arthropoda; Insecta; Hymenoptera; Apidae. The record is from RNAcentral.
CAUUUUAAAUUUGAAGACUAUCGAUCUAGGUUAUCAAGCAAAGAAGCUCCAAAUAUUUCCAGAAAUUGGCUAAAUAUCCAAUUUAGACGUGACAGGUAUAAUAAAGAUACAAUGAAAAUAUUCCUAUCAUGCUAUAUACUCCAUAUAUCAAUGCAGUGUACAUAUUUCACAAUGGGCUACAUAUGUCUAUUGUCUGGGCAUAAACGAUUCGCAAAAAUUCUAAAAUCGCUAACAAUCCUUAAUUAUAGACCACUUGCUUCUGAAAUAAAUUUGAACUUUUGUUUUACCGCUAUAAUUUAAUGGGGGGAUUUUAAUCUGUUAAUCGGAAAAGAUAAGUUAAUUAGUUAUUCGAAAUCUCUCUCUUCCAUUUCCAUUACUAUUGCAACUACGUUCCAUUUCUAUUAAUUAAAUCAAUGAAAUAAUAAUAUCCUUUGGAAGGAUUAAAAAUUAGAACUAUCCUAAUUGUAAUUCAUGUAUUUUUAUUAAUUUUUAAUUUCAUAAUUGUACGUAAAAGGUUUUGGUUAAAGGGGUGACUCACCCGACAGGUUAAAAAAUUCAACGUUUAAAUAUUUCGCGCUUGCCAUUGAAUUCACCUUAACAAAAAGAUCAAUAAUAAAACAGUAAAGCAAUUUACGAUUACAUUAAACUAAUGUUAAUAACUCGGCGAUUUAUGAAAUAAAAUGACUAAACGUGAUGUUUGUGAAAUUACAUGAUACUGUGAUAAUGGUAGGAUGUAAUACUCAGUACUGUGUAACUUGAUGGUUAAAGAUAGCAAAAGAAAAGAUAUUUUCACAAGUUGUUGGAGCAUUAUAUUUGAAGCGGAGAUUGGCGAAAAUGUGAAGGAAGAGAGGACGAAGAAGAGUAGCGUAAAACUGCUAGCUUUCAAUUUAGAAGAACUAAACAAUGCAAUGGCGAGAAGCUUUGUCAAUGAACUCGAGACAUCCUUCACGACCUAGGGCUAGCCGUGUCAUCGACAGUGCCACCACCGCUUCUUCUGCGUUCCGCGCUAUUACUACGGCUAUUACUGCGGCUGGUGGAGCCGGAUCGCGUGCCAGAAGCUUUUUUGCCACCUUUGCUUGAACUUGACGAACUCGAAGGUUCCGCCUGUUGCGGAAGAGGAGUCGACUUUCCAGAACCAGGAGCGCUUCCCGAGGUCGGCUUCCUGAUCGUUCUCGAAUGUGAACCCCACGUUCCUAUCAUGAUUGAAAAAACAUAUUCGACAUGUAAAUAACAUCAGAGACAAACCAGCUAAGUAACUUAACCAACAUAUAUAAUUACACGAUAAAAUACAAUCUCACCUGCGCGUGGCCUAUGACCUUGAUCGUGAGAGGCAUGACCCACCGUAUCUGCAUCUUCUGUUACGAUUGUUGGCAAUGGUUGCGAUCCAAGUUCCUGUAAAAAUCAGUAUAACAGUCAUUAUAUAUGUACAUACGUACAUAGAUAUAUUAUAAACAAUGUUUAAUAUUGCAAUAUCGAGUAAUUUCAAUUACUUUUACGUUUUUAUUAAAUUCUCGAU